RNAcentral lists this ribosomal RNA (270 nucleotides) under uncultured prokaryote. Its description in RNAcentral is "partial 16S ribosomal RNA". It matches the Rfam family "Bacterial small subunit ribosomal RNA", at positions 506 to 776 of the family's 1533-position model. The record is from RNAcentral.
UGCCAGCGCCGCGGUAAUACGUAGGGGGCAAGCGUUGUCCGGAUUUAUUGGGCGUAAAGAGCGUGUAGGCGGCCAUACAGGUCCGUUGUGAAAACUGGAGGCUCAACCUCCAGACGUCGAUGGAAACCGUAUGGCUAGAGUCCGGAAGAGGAGAGUGGAAUUCCUGGUGUAGCGGUGAAAUGCGCAGAUAUCAGGAAGAACACCCGUGGCGAAGGCGGCUCUCUGGGACGGUACUGACGCUGAGACGCGAAAGCAUGGGGAGCGAACAGG